UUAUUUAUUUAUUUAUUUUUAUUUCGAGGUUUUUCUCUCAUAUAAUGCAGACAUAUUCUUAGAUUUUGUCAAGUAGUCUUUUGAAUAUUUAACAUGCUACUUGGAAACUUACAGAAUGGACAUCCACAAAUAACUGAAAGGGAGUUGACAUCUACAAAUGAUGGUAAUGUUGCUGAAGAUCUGAUGUAGAAUCAUGAUGUAUUCUUACGUACCCUUUGGUCUCGCUUGACAAAAUUACAGGUGGUGUGCCAUUUUUUGGAACGGAAUAAUAUCAAGGGUGCUAUAGAUGCUACGAGGAAGUUGCAUGAUCAUUCUGUACAAGCAGACCUGAUCAGUGUUCUCAUGGAGAAAAUGGAGAUUCUCACCUUAGGUUUGCACUAAACAACAUGGGGAGCUGAUUUGAAGAAAAUUCAAACUGUUUGACAGUAUAUGAUUGAGAUUUGGAAAGUUGUAGGGUUAAACCUCCAAGGAACUAGAAUUUUUAUGGUCUUUAAUUUGGCAUUGUAAUUCAAAUUUGAGCCAAUCUAUGUUUUUUUUAUAUUAAUUAUCAGUUAAUUCUCAAUCUCUAUUCCUAGUUAAAUUUAUAUAAAUUCUCAGUUAAUUUUCA
This is a non-coding RNA of Camellia sinensis, 607 nucleotides long. NCBI's taxonomy places the organism in Eukaryota, Viridiplantae, Streptophyta, Magnoliopsida, Ericales, Theaceae. The record is from RefSeq and is a predicted model, not a curated record.